CAGUUCUCACCGAACAUGGGAGGAGCUCAAUGAGCAAGUUCGAAGUCUUCUAUCAACACCAAAAGCUGUACGUCGACUUGUCUUUGGGGCCACAGGGGCUGAGAUAGAUGAAGUUUUAGCAAGGAGGUCAAUUUCUCCAGGUCCACCCUGAUACCUGGUCAGUCCGGAGAGGUUGGAUGGUGCCGCUUUGUCGCUGAAAGAAGACAACUGCAUCCUUCAUUAAACUCUUGAACCUCUGCUGGUGUUUACAUGCAUUUUAGAUUACUUAUCAACUAUUAGUAGCGGUUUGAGAAAUGACACCACAGAAAUAAUGUGUUUUAUUUUUGAAAUAAAGUCGUCUGUACUGAACCUCUGAGCUCAGAGGCUUAGUUUUACCAUCUUUCAAGCUGACAUUGUGGAGUCCUCGGCUAAAUCAACCACAGGCCAUUAAAAGCAAAUUGGCUCCGUGGCAGCGGUGCUUAAUGUGAGCUACUGCAGGAUAUUACAAAAAUGGCUGAUAGUUCUAAUGGGGAAGCAAUAAACUUUAGCUGUAUGAGGAAAAUUAGGAUCUGUUGGAGAACAUGUCUCGCAUCCUUGCUCUGUU
Cyprinodon variegatus (sheepshead minnow) is the source of this 583-nucleotide long non-coding RNA. RefSeq lists it as uncharacterized. The record is from RefSeq and is a predicted model, not a curated record. The transcript is spliced from 3 exons. Lineage: Eukaryota; Metazoa; Chordata; Actinopteri; Cyprinodontiformes; Cyprinodontidae.